RNAcentral lists this transfer RNA (77 nucleotides) under Paraburkholderia elongata. RNAcentral's name for it is "tRNA-Val". It matches the Rfam family "tRNA". From Rfam's summary of the family: Transfer RNA (tRNA) molecules are approximately 80 nucleotides in length. Their secondary structure includes four short double-helical elements and three loops (D, anti-codon, and T loops). Lineage: Bacteria; Pseudomonadati; Pseudomonadota; Betaproteobacteria; Burkholderiales; Burkholderiaceae. The record is from RNAcentral.
AGGCUCGUAGCUCAGUUGGCUAGAGCACCACCUUGACAUGGUGGGGGUCGUUGGUUCGAAUCCAAUCGAGCCUACCA